This 2128-nucleotide long non-coding RNA is filed under the name Homo sapiens (human). RNAcentral describes it as "long non-coding RNA NONHSAT200244.1". The record is from RNAcentral. Lineage: Eukaryota; Metazoa; Chordata; Mammalia; Primates; Hominidae.
GAACCCCGUCAGGAAAAGCGCACAAAACUGCUCUUAAGUCAUUGCAGAGCUACCGCUUCGGUUAGCCAGCCACGAAGUUCUCGCGAGAGUCGUCUCCUCGAUACCAAGCGCCUGUGUCUGGCAGAGCUGGUGUGAGACGAGACAAUCCUGCCCCGCCGCCGGGAUAAUCAAGAGUUUUGGCCGGACCUUUGAGCAUACACCGAGAGAGUGAGGAGCCAGACGACAAGCACACACUAUGGCGCUGAAACGGAUUAAUAAGGAACUUAGUGAUUUGGCCCGUGACCCUCCAGCACAAUGUUCUGCAGGUCCAGUUGGGGAUGAUACAAUAAUAUUUUAAAUUUGAGUUAAGCAUACUUUUCUUUUUACAGAAUGACAGCCCAUAUCAAGGCGGUGUAUUCUUUUUGACAAUUCAUUUUCCUACAGACUACCCCUUCAAACCACCUAAGGUUGCAUUUACAACAAGAAUUUAUCAUCCAAAUAUUAACAGUAAUGGCAGCAUUUGUCUCGAUAUUCUAAGAUCACAGUGGUCGCCUGCUUUAACAAUUUCUAAAGUUCUUUUAUCCAUUUGUUCACUGCUAUGUGAUCCAAACCCAGAUGACCCCCUAGUGCCAGAGAUUGCACGGAUCUAUAAAACAGACAGAGAUAAGUACAACAGAAUAUCUCGGGAAUGGACUCAGAAGUAUGCCAUGUGAUGCUACCUUAAAGUCAGAAUAACCUGCAUUAUAGCUGGAAUAAACUUUAAAUUACUGUUCCUUUUUUGAUUUUCUUAUCCGGCUGCUCCCCUAUCAGACCUCAUCUUUUUUAAUUUUAUUUUUUGUUUACCUCCCUCCAUUCAUUCACAUGCUCAUCUGAGAAGACUUAAGUUCUUCCAGCUUUGGACAAUAACUGCUUUUAGAAACUGUAAAGUAGUUACAAGAGAACAGUUGCCCAAGACUCAGAAUUUUUAAAAAAAAAAAUGGAGCAUGUGUAUUAUGUGGCCAAUGUCUUCACUCUAACUUGGUUAUGAGACUAAAACCAUUCCUCACUGCUCUAACAUGCUGAAGAAAUCAUCUGAGGGGGAGGGAGAUGGAUGCUCAGUUGUCACAUCAAAGGAUACAGCAUUAUUCUAGCAGCAUCCAUUCUUGUUUAAGCCUUCCACUGUUAGAGAUUUGAGGUUACAUGAUAUGCUUUAUGCUCAUAACUGAUGUGGCUGGAGAAUUGGUAUUGAAUUUAUAGCAUCAGCAGAACAGAAAAUGUGAUGUAUUUUAUGCAUGUCAAUAAAGGAAUGACCUGUUCUUGUUCUACAGAGAAUGGAAAUUGGAAGUCAAACACCCUUUGUAUUCCAAAAUAGGGUCUCAAACAUUUUGUAAUUUUCAUUUAAAUUGUUAGGAGGCUUGGAGCUAUUAGUUAAUCUAUCUUCCAAUACACUGUUUAAUAUAGCACUGAAUAAAUGAUGCAAGUUGUCAAUGGAUGAGUGAUCAACUAAUAGCUCUGCUAGUAAUUGAUUUAUUUUUCUUCAAUAAAGUUGCAUAAACCAAUGAGUUAGCUGCCUGGAUUAAUCAGUAUGGGAAACAAUCUUUUGUAAAUGCAAAGCUGUUUUUUGUAUAUACUGUUGGGAUUUGCUUCAUUGUUUGACAUCAAAUGAUGAUGUAAAGUUCGAAAGAGUGAAUAUUUUGCCAUGUUCAGUUAAAGUGCACAGUCUGUUACAGGUUGACACAUUGCUUGACCUGAUUUAUGCAGAAUUAAUAAGCUAUUUGGAUAGUGUAGCUUUAAUGUGCUGCACAUGAUACUGGCAGCCCUAGAGUUCAUAGAUGGACUUUUGGGACCCAGCAGUUUUGAAAUGUGUUUAUGGAGUUUAAGAAAUUUAUUUUCCAGGUGCAGCCCCUGUCUAACUGAAAUUUCUCUUCACCUUGUACACUUGACAGCUGAAAAAAAACAACAUGGGAGUAAUAAUGGGUCAAAAUUUGCAAAAUAAAGUACUGUUUUGGUGUGGGAGUUGUCAUGAGGCUGUGUUGAAGUGACUUAUCUAUGUGGGAUAUUGAGUAUCCAUUGAAAUGGAUUUGUUCAGCCAUUUACAUUAAUGAGCAUUUAAAUGCAACAGAUAUCAUUUCAGGUGACUUAACAUGAAUGAAUAAAAGUCAAUGCUAUU